GAUGAACGCUAGCGGCAGGCUUAACACAUGCAAGUCGAACGGUAACAUAGAAAAGCUUGCUUUUCUGAUGACGAGUGGCGAACGGGUGCGUAACACGUAUGCAACCUACCUUUUACAGGGGGAUAGCCCAGAGAAAUCUGGAUUAAUACCCCAUAGUAUUGAGAAUUGGCAUCUUUUCUCAAUUAAAACUCCGGUGGUAAAAGAUGGGCAUGCGGUCUAUUAGUUUGUUGGUGAGGUAACGGCUCACCAAGACUACGAUAGAUAGGGGUUCUGAGAGGAUGAUCCCCCACACUGGUACUGAGACACGGACCAG
RNAcentral lists this ribosomal RNA (313 nucleotides) under uncultured bacterium. RNAcentral's name for it is "bacterial SSU rRNA". It matches the Rfam family "Bacterial small subunit ribosomal RNA", at positions 28 to 334 of the family's 1533-position model. The record is from RNAcentral.